ACGUAGGGGGCAAGCGUUGUCCGGAUUCAUUGGGCGUAAAGAGCGUGUAGGCGGCCAGGUAGGUCGGUUGUGAAAACUGGAGGCUCAACCUUCAGAGGUCGACCGAAACCAUCUGGCUAGAGUCCGGGAGAGGAGAGUGGAAUUCCUGGUGUAGCGGUGAAAUGCGCAGAUAUCAGGAGGAACACCGGUGGCGAAGGCGGUUCUCUGGGCAUGUCCUGACGCUGAGGAGCGAAAGUGUGGGGAGCGAACAGGA
RNAcentral lists this ribosomal RNA (253 nucleotides) under uncultured prokaryote. Its description in RNAcentral is "partial 16S ribosomal RNA". It matches the Rfam family "Bacterial small subunit ribosomal RNA", at positions 525 to 777 of the family's 1533-position model. The record is from RNAcentral.